Molecule: long non-coding RNA, 380 nt
Organism: Panthera uncia (snow leopard)
Lineage: Eukaryota; Metazoa; Chordata; Mammalia; Carnivora; Felidae
Exons: 2
Source: RefSeq, a predicted model, not a curated record
GCAAAGACUGUCACACUCAUCUGAUUUAGGACUGUGAACCUGGAUUCCCAUGGAGGUUUCAAAAGCACGAGGAUAGGACAGGGCUGCAGUCUACUCAUCUCAGAAGCUGCAGAGAAUGCAUAUCAUCUGGUCAAGAAGUAUUUCUGAAUGCAGUGCAAAGGAGAGGAUUUCACAGCAAAAUAAAAACAAGCCAAAAAGCUGACUAGAAAUCUGUAUUCUAAGAAAACUACAAAAUACUCCUAAGAGGUACAUUAGGGAGGAAAACUUUCCCUUUGAGUGUCUGGAGAUGACAUUGUGGCUUUAAAGAAAAUGAACUGGAAUCUAGGAAAAAUCUCAGUACGUUAUGUCACACAACCCAGGUAUAAAGAAACUGAUAAUUA